This 253-nucleotide ribosomal RNA is filed under the name uncultured bacterium. Its description in RNAcentral is "partial 16S ribosomal RNA". It matches the Rfam family "Bacterial small subunit ribosomal RNA", at positions 524 to 776 of the family's 1533-position model. The record is from RNAcentral.
UACGUAGGGUCCGAGCGUUAAUCGGAAUUACUGGGCGUAAAGCGUGCGCAGGCGGUUUUGUAAGCCAGAUGUGAAAUCCCCGAGCUUAACUUGGGAACUGCAUUUGGGACUGCAAAGCUAGAGUACGGCAGAGGGAGGUGGAAUUCCACGUGUAGCAGUGAAAUGCGUAGAGAUGUGGAGGAACACCGAUGGCGAAGGCAGCCUCCUGGGCUAGUACUGACGCUCAUGCACGAAAGCGUGGGGAGCGAACAGG